AGCAAAUGAUACACAUACAAACACUUAGCCAAAUAAAAUGAAAACAUAAAACCCCACCUUAGUUUUUCCCUUCUUCGCGCCACCCCCAAAUCAGAGAAGACUCUGCGCCAUCACCACUCAUUGUAACAUCCCUAAUUUCUAACCCUAAAUUCCAAAAUCCCCAAAUUAACUCAGAAAAUCCUAAUUUCCCCAGUUUCUGACCCUAACAUCUGCAACCUCACCCUCCUUCAACGUACAAACAAAAGCAGCACUGUAGAGAGAAGAGGGAUCGGGAGAAGAAGAGAAGAGAGGAAAGGCCUGCCCAGCCGUCACCACCGCAGUGCCGCUGCAACUAUUGCCACCUUCAGAGCUGCGGAAAGUCGUCCUCCCUGCCGUCGAAUGCCGCCGUCGUGUCGCACAUGAGAGAGAGAGAGAGACAGAUUCGAGAGGAGCUACCCACGAUCGCUGCCGUCGAAACCAGGCUCGUCGCCGUCACCACCCACGAAGCUGCGAGGAGCCGCUGUCGUGCUCGUGUCGCUGUGCGCCGUCGAGCUGCCCUCACCCUGAGCCGUCGAUCUGUCACCACGGCUACAAGGGCUUGUCGCUGGAGCCACGACUGUCAAUGAGCUUCCGUCGCCACUGCCGUUCAAGCCGCUGCUGCCGUCGAUUUGGAGUUGCUGCGAUUGGAGCCACUAGUGGGGGUGAGUUGCUACUUCCCUGUUGCCGUCCUAAUCAUAUUCAGCGUCCACUGCCCUGAGCUAUUUCUGCCCUUGAGUUCGUUGAGUUCGGAUUCCUUGUGCUACUGUAACUGUCAUUACUGCUGUGGGAACCAACGUUUCUGUUUGGCUGCUGUUGAAGGUCUUCCACCAUCACUGGAGCUGCCCAGAAUCAUCGUGGAAGCUGCCAAGAUAUAUGUCUGAUUUAGAGAUAUUUUGGAGCUAACUAAGGCUUUUAACAUGAAAGAGACUGAGGCAAAGGCAUAUAUAUAUUUAAAAUCCAGACUGAGGCAAAGGCAAAGGCUUUAUGAUUUUGCACUUACAGACUAUGUUUGUUCAAGCUUAGUAUUAUCUGUUUUGAAGCAUGAAAACGAAGCAUUAUCAAAUGCAGAAAAGCGAGCAUCUGAUGAGGUUCAUAGUUUAUCUGAAAGGGUGCAGCGCCUGCAGGCUAGCCUAGGUACCAUACAGAGUGCUAAGGAAGUUCGAGAGGAACAAGUAAAGCUACAAAAUUCUUGAGAGCCAAUUGAAUUUCUCUUUUCAAAGUACCAGAAGAAACAGCAGAGCUACUUGGGAAAUCUGACCUGUAUUUCUUUAGCCCUGAGCAUCCUCCAUUGACCGAACCAGCUCAGAAAGCCCUUGACUGGGCCGGAUGAGAAAUUGAAGUCAGGAUUUUGGGAACUCCAACUGAGGAGCAAUGGCCGGGAGUUACUUUGCUUCGUGAUUGGCAUACCUACCCAAAGUGGGAACCUCAGAACUUGGCGAGGACC
Molecule: long non-coding RNA, 1462 nt
Organism: Arachis duranensis
Lineage: Eukaryota; Viridiplantae; Streptophyta; Magnoliopsida; Fabales; Fabaceae
Exons: 6
Source: RefSeq, a predicted model, not a curated record